Molecule: unclassified non-coding RNA, 350 nt
Filed under: Hevea brasiliensis (rubber tree)
Lineage: Eukaryota; Viridiplantae; Streptophyta; Magnoliopsida; Malpighiales; Euphorbiaceae
Source: RNAcentral
AAAGAACUGAGAUUUAUCACCCUAAAUCCAAAAGGGUAUUCUUCAAAAUUAACAAAACAUAUACAAAACACUAUAUAUUCAGAACAAAAAAAUCCCCUUUCUAUUGUAAGCAGCUCACCAAACAAACCCCAAUUACAAGAAAAGAACCCUGAACAUAAAAACACCCCCUUUAUUCAGCUAUAAACAAAGAUUCUUGCUUUUCCUCUUCUUUUUUUUUUCAAAAUUUAUAUUUAAAUACAACUUAUCUGUAAAUAUUCAGCUUGUUUUUGAACACCCUUCAACUUAUUUAUUUUUUUUUGCAGAUUUUUUGGGAAUUUUUCAAGAAAAGAAUGCCUGAGACUAAUGUUUUU